UUGCUCUUCAACGAGGAAUACCUAGUAAGCGUGAGUCAUCAGCUCGCGUUGAUUACGUCCCUGCCCUUUGUACACACCGCCCGUCGCUACUACCGAUUGAAUGGCUUAGUGAGGUCUCCGGAUUGGCUUUGGGGAACCGGCAACGGCGCCCUAUUGCUGAGAAGCUGAUCAAACUUGGUCAUUUAGAGGAAGUAAAAGUCGUAACAAGGUUUCCGUAGGUGAACCUGCGGAAGGAUCAUUAUUGAAUUAUGUUUUCUAGAUGGGUUGUAGCUGGCUCUUCGGAGUAUGUGCACGCCUGUCUGGACUUCAUUUUCAUCCACCUGUGCACCUUUUGUAGUCUUUUUCAGGUAUUGGAGGAAGUGGUCAGCCUAUCAGCUCUUUGCUGGAUGUAAGGACUUGCAGUGUGAAAACAGUGCUGUCCUUUACCUUGGCCAUGGAAUCUUUUUCCUGUUAGAGUCUAUGUUAUUCAUUAUACUCUUAGAAUGUCAUUGAAUGUCUUUACAUGGGCUAUGCCUAUGAAAAUUAUUAUACAACUUUCAGCAACGGAUCUCUUGGCUCUCGCAUCGAUGAAGAACGCAGCGAAAUGCGAUAAGUAAUGUGAAUUGCAGAAUUCAGUGAAUCAUCGAAUCUUUGAACGCAUCUUGCGCUCCUUGGUAUUCCGAGGAGCAUGCCUGUUUGAGUGUCAUUAUAUUCUCAACUCUCCAAUACUUUGUUGUAAAGGAGAGCUUGGAUUGUGGAGGUUUGCUGGCUCCUUACUUGGGGUCAGCUCCUCUGAAAUGCAUUAGCGGAAUCGUCUGCGAUCUGCCACAAGUGUGAUAACUUAUCUACACUGGCGAGGGGAUUGCUUUCUGAUGUUCAGCUUCUAAUCGUCUAAGGACAAUUUCUUGAAUGCUUGACCUCAAAUCAGGUAGGACUACCCGCUGAACUUAAGCAUAUCAAUAAGCGGAGGA
This 950-nucleotide ribosomal RNA is filed under the name uncultured fungus. Its description in RNAcentral is "eukaryotic LSU rRNA". The stretch from base 1 to 241 matches the Rfam family "Eukaryotic small subunit ribosomal RNA", at positions 1593 to 1831 of the family's 1831-position model. The record is from RNAcentral. Lineage: Eukaryota; Fungi.